GUUAUACUGUCAUGAAAGUGGACAAGUAUCUCAUUCUGGUAUUCAGGAGGAACAUAUAGACGUCCUUCUGGAACAACUCUAGGCGUCUAAGUCUGUUUAGUAACAAUAUCCAUCACCAGAGGAAACUGUAUCUUGAUACUAGUGUUAGCUAUAAUAUUCUGUUUGGGUACCAAAGAAGACACAUCACACGUGAAAUUGACAAGAGGUUCAUAUUGACAAGAUAACACAUCGGCCUUUGAACCUG
Pelobates cultripes (western spadefoot toad) is the source of this 244-nucleotide non-coding RNA. Lineage: Eukaryota; Metazoa; Chordata; Amphibia; Anura; Pelobatidae. The record is from the annotation of a GenBank genome assembly.